Juglans microcarpa x Juglans regia is the source of this 160-nucleotide long non-coding RNA. RefSeq lists it as uncharacterized. The transcript is spliced from 2 exons. Lineage: Eukaryota; Viridiplantae; Streptophyta; Magnoliopsida; Fagales; Juglandaceae. The record is from RefSeq and is a predicted model, not a curated record.
UUAUCAUAUAAGAUGUCACAAUAGUAACAUGUAAGGAAUAUUACAACCCAAACGAAUCCAUGCUGGAAUUAGUUUUUGCGCCUGCAGAAGAAUGGAUUUCACGCAGUGAUGCUGAUAUUAUUGAUGCUACAAUGAAGGAACUCGCAAAACUCUUUCCUGA